Molecule: RNA transcript, 4530 nt
Organism: Jatropha curcas
Lineage: Eukaryota; Viridiplantae; Streptophyta; Magnoliopsida; Malpighiales; Euphorbiaceae
Gene name: Tetratricopeptide repeat (TPR)-like superfamily protein
Source: RefSeq, a predicted model, not a curated record
GUAUAUUUGUAUAUUUGCAUAAUCUUUGUUUAUUAAUGUGUUGCAUUUAAAUGCGAUGUUUGAUUAUUUGUGUUGUGAUAUUGUUAUGCCUUGUUUGCGUGUAAUUGGGAUGAAGUGGGUCACCAUGGGUUUGUGAGGGCGGUCUUUGAUACUGUCAGCCAUGUAUGGGGAGAUCGGUAUCUCCGUGUAACAUCUGAUGAUAUGAAUUAUAUGGAAAACCACAGGGUGACCUUCUGUUGGUAUGAAAAAGAAAAGAGAUUAUGAAAAAAAUGAGAGGGCUGGUCAAGUAAGGAUUAGACUGGUCGGUUAUGUAUGGGGGAUCGGCUCCUUGGUGCAUACGUCAUGAGAGGAUGGGCUAUGUGUGAGGACAGUUCAUUGGGGGUCUCGGUGACGCCACAGACCAAUCUCCACUUAUUUGAUUACGUGAAGGUGUACUUGUAUGCGGGUGCUGAUGUUGUGCCAUUUGUUUGAUUGGACGAGUGUUCAUUUUAGUAUUUUAGGAAGCAUUUUGUGUGAAUGUCUGUGUUAUGCAAUAGUUAUUAUUCAUUAUCAAACCCACUCCUUUCUUUUUGUUUCACUUUUAUUUUUUAGGAAGUAGAUUCUCUUUUCUUUCAGCUUAAGUUCUAUUUCGUUCACCACAGAGCUAGAGAAGUAAUUUCAAAUUUAGGUAUUAUUUUAAUUAUAUUAUUUAAUGUAAGGGAAUUCAGUCUCAUCUGCAUGCAGUUUGAACUGUGCAGUUUUAGGUUGUGAAAUACUAUGUAGGAAUAGGUUAAUCGAUGAACUUAUGCUGAUGGAUUAAUCAAUUAGCCCAUAUGAUGAGUGUUGUGUGGUAUAAUUGGGGCUCAUGUUUGGAAUAUUUAUGAUAUUGUGAUUGGCCAUAAUAUAAAAUGGUUAUAUGACUUGUUGUAUACAAUAAUAUGGGCUCACUUUUUCACAAAUUUAUUUAGAUUGGGUAGACCUAGAUAUUGUAGGCUUACUACGGGUUUUGGGGACCUUAAGCUUACCUAGGCCCUAAUGUCGGGCCCAUGGAAACGGUUCGUGAAAGAUAAUUAUGGCAAAAUUGAGAGAAUGAAUAUUUAUUUUCCUUUUCUAUAAUAGAUUUUGAAAUUUUUUUUGUUUUAAAAAAAACCUUCCUAAACGUUAAAACACCUACUGUCAUCCUUUCUAUUUGUCAUGACGUAAAAGUAAAAGUUAAAACCAAAUAAAGGAGAUAAAUGAUGGCGAGGACAAGUAAAGAGAGAAACCAAAAAGGAACAUAGAAAUUAUGUCUGUCUUCAUCAUUCAAAUUCGAUUCGUUGGUCGCACUUUUCUCUCUGGACUUGAUGGCGGGAAACCAUGAAUACCGGUUUUGAGUUUGCCGUUCAAUCAGAAUCUUUAGAAUUAUCAUCAUUUAGUGAAAUCAACUAGAAAGGGAAAAGGACCUAAUAUUCUGCUUGCUCACAGAAAUCACUCUCUUUUUCUGUCUCCCUCCCUUUCUCGCUCCUCGAGAAACACCCUCCAUACUUCUUCAAAAGGGGAAAAGGGAACAACAAAGUACCUGAAACAACUGACUUCGCAAAAAUGGUAAUCUAUUCCCUACCUUUUCAGACAGGGUAUAACAGAAUCCUCAACACCUACAAAGGACUUUACUCUACCAGGUAUCUUCUGAACUCAAGCUCAAAAUAUGGCCUUGAACGUCUCCAUACUGUACAGGCAUCCCAAAAUCCUUGCCAGGAGUCAGCAACAGCAUUACCUGAUUCAUUCUUGGUGGAGAAAAUUUUGUUGAAUUUAAGGCAAGGUAAUGCAAAUUCUUUACACAACUAUCGUAUUCGCUUAAGCCCAUCAAUCAUAGCUGAGGUUUUACAUCGUUCCCGUGAUAAUCUGAAACUGGGUGUAAGAUUUAUCGAUCGUGUUGUAUUAAGUAGCAAGAAUGUUAAGCAUUCAUCAAUAUCAUUGAGCGCGAUGAUUCAUGUUUUGGUACGUAGCAGAAGACUGUCUGAUGCACAAGCUUUUAUUCUUAGGAUGAUUAGGAGAAGUGGAGCUUCAACUAUGGAGAUUGUUGAAUCCUUGAUAUCAAUGGGUAUUACUUGGGGGUUGGAUAAUUUGGUGUUUGAUUUGCUAAUUAGGACUUAUGUGCAGGCUAGGAAAUUAAAAGAAGGGACUGAUGCAUUCAGAAUUGUGAGAAGUAGAGGGGUUUUGGUUUCCAUAAAUGCUUGUAAUAGUCUUCUUGGCGGGCUAGUAAAAAUGUGUUGGGUUGAUUUGGCAUGGGAAGUGUAUGGGGAAACUAUUAGAAGUGGGAUUAGGUUGAAUGUUUAUACAUUAAAUAUUAUGGUAAAUGCAUUGUGUAAAGAUCACAAGAUUGAUAAUGUUAAGAAAUUUUUAUUGGAUAUGGAGCAAAAAGGAGUUUUUGCAGAUACUGUAACAUAUAACACUCUUGUCAAUGCAUAUUGUCGUGAAGGACUUUUAGAUGAAGCUUUUGAAGUAAUGAACUCAAUGUCAGUUAAAGGCUUGAAACCUUGUCUCUAUACAUAUAAUUCUAUCAUUAAUGGUUUAUGUAGGAAAGGAAGAUAUGCUAGAGCAAAGGGAGUUUUGAAUGAGAUGUUGAGCAUUGGGUUGUGUCCUGAUACUACUACUUAUAAUGCAUUGCUUGUUGAAAGUUGUAGAAAGGACAAUUUUUUGGAAGCUAAAGAAAUAUUUGGUGAAAUGUUGCAUCUAGGGGUUGCUUGUGAUUUAGUUAGCUUUAGUUCACUUAUUGGUGUGUUCUCAAAAAAUGGACAUAUAGAUCAGGCAUUAGCGUACUUUAGAGAUAUGAAGAAUUCUGGCUUGGUUCCAGACACUGUGAUUUACACUAUACUUAUAGAUGGGUAUUGUAGAAAUGGCAAGAUGUCUGAGGCUUUGAAGAUGAGGGAUGAAAUGUUGGAGCAGGGCUGUGUUUUAGAUGUAGUUACAUACAAUACAAUAUUAAAUGGAUUGUGCAAAGACAGGAUGCUCACAAAUGCAAAUGCACUGUUUGAUGAGAUGGUGGAAAGGGGAGUGUUUCCAGAUUUUUACACUUUUACCACACUCAUUCAUGGACAUUGCAAGGAUGGGAAUAUGAAUAGGGCACUAAGCUUAUUUGAAACAAUGACCCAGAGGAAUAUAAAACCAGACAUUGUGACAUACAACACUUUAAUUGAUGGGUUUUGCAAGGUUGGUGUAAUGGAGAAAGCAAAUGAGUUAUGGAAUGAUAUGGUCUAUAGGAAGAUGUUUCCUAAUCACAUUUCAUAUGGUAUAUUAAUAAAUGGUUACUGUAAUCUAGGAUUUGUCUCUGAGUCAUUCAGGUUGUGGGAUGAGAUGAUUGAGAAAGGCAUCAAACCUACUCUUGUGACUUGCAACACUAUAAUAAAGGGCUAUUGCCGAUCAGGUGAUGCAUCAAAAGCUGACGAAUUCUUGGGAAAGAUGGUUUCGAAAGGAGUUAUUCCUGAUAGCAUUACUUAUAACACCCUUAUUAAUGGAUUUGUUAGAGAAGAAAAUAUGGACAAAGCUUUUUUUCUGAUCGAUAAGAUGGAAAAAGAAGGUCUUUUGCCUGAUUUAAUUACGUAUAAUAUAAUUCUAAAUGGGUUUUGUCGGCAAGUUAGAAUGCAAGAGGCUGAACUGGUCUUACGGAAAAUGAUUGAGAGAGGGGUAAAUCCUGAUAGAUCAACAUAUACAGCUUUGAUAAAUGGACAUGUCUCCCAGGACAACUUGAAGGAGGCAUUUCGAUUUCAUGAUGAAAUGCUGCGGAGAGGAUUUGUCCCAGAUGACAAUUUUUGAUUUGACCCACAUACUGCAGCCUGCAAUUGUUGAUAGAACAUGUGUGAUUUAGGACUAAUUGGCAGCUCAUGAUGAAAUGAUGCAGAGGAGAUUCGUGCCAGAUGAUGAGUCUGAUUGUUUUGCUACUGCAGCUUGUAUGGCUUGUAAAAGUCAAUGGCAUUGUCUGUCAUGUGUAUGCAGUGGCGUAAUGUGGAUCACGUAUUCUAGCAUAGAUAGCGUCAACCAUGGCUUGCAAAUUAGAUUUGAAAUCAAAGGUUUUGUGCCUUCAGGAGAAUGUAACCUUAUUUGGUGGUGCCAUUUUGGACCAGGAAACUGAGGAAGCUCAUGAUGUCAACAGAUAACCAAAUUCACCUUUUCGAGCUUUGUUGAAGGACCUCUCGGUGGGAUGAGAGAAUAGGUAAUGCUAAUGCUGCAUUUUACCAAUUUGAAUAGUCUACGCUUUCACAUUCUAUCAAUGUAUGCCUAGCUGACUGUACUCGAUUAUUAUUAUUAUUUCUGUCAACAUUGGAAUUCUGGGUAGAUGAAAGCUUUAAUUAGGAAAAGUUGUUAUCUCUAGUGUUGCUUUCAUGAACUGUAGCACCUCUAUUUAUACCAUUCAACUGGGUGGGUUACUUUCUCACUAAUAGUUUUGUCAUAUGUGUCUCCUCUGUGUUGUGAAAAUCUAUCAUGUUUUAUGAAACUGAUGUGCUUUACACGUCUGUGCAUUAAGUAUUGGUUGUGGAUGAACUGAGUUCCUGGGAAGAGUAAUAUUUUUUGCAA